Molecule: non-coding RNA, 72 nt
Organism: Podarcis lilfordi (Lilford's wall lizard)
Lineage: Eukaryota; Metazoa; Chordata; Lepidosauria; Squamata; Lacertidae
Source: the annotation of a GenBank genome assembly
CUGAGGAUAGCUCAGUUGGCAGAGUAUGAGAAACUUAAUCUCAGUCAUGGGUUUGAGCCCCAUUUGGCCAGA